Small nuclear RNA from Rhinopithecus bieti (black snub-nosed monkey), 62 nucleotides. The record is from Ensembl. Lineage: Eukaryota; Metazoa; Chordata; Mammalia; Primates; Cercopithecidae.
GUACUUGCUUCAGUGGUAGUACAUAUACUAAAAUUGGAACAAUUCAAAGAAGAUUAGCAUGG